CUGCUUUGACUGUAAGAGAUCAAAUUAAGACAGACUUACUUUCAUUUCAGUCACAUUAGACUUGAGUUUAUUUCAUUAGAUGCAAUAGCUCCAAAGUCUAUCAGUGAAAAUUCUUCAGUGCAUUGUUUUAUGAACUAAUGCAAAUGUUUUCAUUACAUAUUUGAUAGUUAUUUAAUAGUAGCUUGACUCCAGAUGUUUGUGCAAAACAUGAUGAUCAUGUUCUCCAGCGUCUUUAAGAUGGUCCAGAGAGCAUCUUGGACUUCAGUGCAUGGAGAAACAUCUAACCUCAGUAUCCAUGUCUUCUUCUUCUGAGUCCUCUGCAAGGAGAUCAGCAUGCUGAGUGUAAUCAAACGCAGGGAACUUUAUGGGCAACUCGCUCCAUUUGCUGAAUGUCUUCUUUUUGGAGCCGUAUGUGACCACAAAAUUCUUGAUAUGAAGGCAGGGACACUCAAUGCUCUUAUACAGCAUCAUCGAGCCCCAUUGCUGAUCAGGAACGAGACAAAAAAUCCUGACUCCGCCACCAGCGUGUAACUACUGUCUUCCGCUCUUCCUCGACCACGGGCCUGCAGAGAGGGAAAAAUGGCACUUCUUACCUCUUCAUUCAUGUUGAUACUUCAGAUACUUCAGCAUGAGAAUACAAGCUCAAAUCGGCAGUGUUCAAUUAGUACAAUGGAUGGAAAUCAUGUGACUGUACCUGACUGAUCAUCAUCAUCCAUUGUGAGAUCUCCCUCCUCCUCCUCCUCCUCCUCACCUUCUUUGUACAUGUCAUCCUCUUUGUACCCAGACCGCUGCUGUCUACGCUGCUGUCCAGAUCCUCUGACAGAAGCGAGUUGUUCGGCGAGAGAACAGGAGGGACAGUCGGCAUAGAGCUAUUCAUGUUAGUCUUCACUACAGCAGCCGAGCAUGACUGUUCAGCCUCCUCAACAAUCUCAACUGACAUGGCCUCUGAAACACACAGGUCUGGAAGAGCUGUGGGACGUCCUGGGCUUUCCCUACGGUAGAUGAGAGAGUCAGUGCAGUCCUGGAUCAGACGGCGGUCUGUGGAGCUCCAGAGCGGCUGUCGUGUCUGGAGGGGAGGAGUGCUGGGCUGGAAGCAGGGAUCUGGACUGCUGUCGUGUCAGAGGAAGAGUCUGGCUGUUUGUGAAGCGGUGUGUAGAAGGAUGCAGUGUGGUACCUGUGCUGUGCAGUGCUGUGGGUUGGUGGGAACAGAAGCGACGGGCUGCACUCUGAUGGCUGUUUUUUUGUAGUCGAGACCGGCUGUGAGGCUGCUGUAGGCUGGAGGUCCUAAACAUGUCUGUCUCUGGAGCAGCUGGAGGAUACUCUGAAUGUCUGACGUCAUCUGAGACUCUAACCUGGUUUCAUCUGAUUCUCUGCUAUAAGAUGUGCAAUGUGGAGCGCAGCUGAUGCAGGAUUUUUGCUGCCUGGUGCGUCUUUCUCUUGCAGUGUGGCUCAUCCACAGCUGUUUCCUGAUGAAGCAUGAUCUGGGUUUUACCUGCUCAGGUGUUCUUGCAGCUGGUCUAGUCUCUGCUCCACUUCUCCAUACGUGACGUCACAGUCCAGAUCAUCAUCUUCAGCGCCGCCCUGUUCCUGCACAGCCGUGUCCAUGCCUGCUUUCACACUGUCAGCUAACCAUCUGUCAGUCUGGAUCUCUGAAAAAGAAUACACCUGUGGCCCAUAAGAAAAGCAGAAUGAUGCUGUGAAGGAAGAAACAGAAACUUCGCAUCUCAGCAGGAGGACUGCAGGCCGGUGUGGAGGUGUAGCUCUGUAAUGAUGGAUACUCUAUUAUUCCUGCUCCCAGAAGCCUUUGCUGUUCCUCUCUGGAGGUGUGACGGUCCUCUGAGCUUCUCUUAGAGCUGAGACGAGACUCUCGCCGCUCCUUCCUGCACUCGCUGUCCGUUUCCUUCAGGCUUCCUCCUACGGGACGAUCAGAGGUUAAAGGUCAGUUCCAGAUUGGUGAGGAAGUAGUCAGCGAACUCUGGAUACAUGUCCAAAACCUCCAGGAGCUCCUCUCUCUGGAUGGUGUGCAGGUCGCAGUAGCUGAGCGCUCGCACGUCUGCGUUCGACUUACCGGGCUUUGCAUAUAGGUGGAUCAUCUCUCCGAAUAUGUCAUUCUUACCUGGAGAACAAAGAACACCUUCAGCAGGUCGAAAAAAGCCGCUGAGGUCAUUACCAAGAUGGGUACUGAGUGACCUGAAUUGCUUUAAGAAUGGCCACCACUAUGUCGUCCUUGAGAAUCUCGAUGGAUCCUCGAGACAGGAAGUAGAGUGCGGUGAGGACGUCCCCGCAGUGCACGAGCGUAUCUCCAGGAGGAGCAUGGGUGGUUUUGAAGCGUAUGGCGAGAGCGCGCAGACAUCCUUGAGUCGCACCUCUGAAAGCCUUACAUCCCUCAAGGAGGCUGCGGUUCAGAUGAAGACAAAUAUCUGCCUGUAAACACUCAGGAAAGCCUUUUAAGACCUGCGGAGAGACGCGACAAUGAGGUGACGCUCAAGGGCGACGAGGUCGUUCCAUUUCAUAUGAGGCAGACAUGGAGAGAGAAAGGUGUUGCUUUCAGUACAUACACUCACACAUUUACACUGAUGUGAUGACAUGU
Labeo rohita (rohu) is the source of this 2590-nucleotide long non-coding RNA. RefSeq lists it as uncharacterized. The record is from RefSeq and is a predicted model, not a curated record. Lineage: Eukaryota; Metazoa; Chordata; Actinopteri; Cypriniformes; Cyprinidae. The transcript has 15 exons.